RNAcentral lists this ribosomal RNA (2921 nucleotides) under Campylobacter jejuni. RNAcentral describes it as "23S ribosomal RNA". It matches the Rfam family "Bacterial large subunit ribosomal RNA". Lineage: Bacteria; Pseudomonadati; Campylobacterota; Epsilonproteobacteria; Campylobacterales; Campylobacteraceae. RNAcentral also lists the same sequence under 1 other name. The record is from RNAcentral.
AAAAAAGGUAAGCUACUAAGAGCGAAUGGUGGAUGCCUUGACUGGUAAAGGCGAUGAAGGACGUACUAGACUGCGAUAAGCUACGGGGAGCUGUCAAGAAGCUUUGAUCCGUAGAUUUCCGAAUGGGGCAACCCAAUGUAUAGAGAUAUACAUUACCUAUAUAGGAGCGAACGAGGGGAAUUGAAACAUCUUAGUACCCUCAGGAAAAGAAAUCAAUAGAGAUUGCGUCAGUAGCGGCGAGCGAAAGCGCAAGAGGGCAAACCCAGUGCUUGCACUGGGGGUUGUAGGACUGCAAUGUGCAAGAGGUAAGUUUAGCAGAACAUUCUGGAAAGUAUAACCAUAGAGGGUGAUAGUCCCGUAUGCGAAAAACAAACCUUAGCUAGCAGUAUCCUGAGUAGGGCGGGACACGAGGAAUCCUGUCUGAAUCCGGGUCGACCACGAUCCAACCCUAAAUACUAAUACCAGAUCGAUAGUGCACAAGUACCGUGAGGGAAAGGUGAAAAGAACUGAGGUGAUCAGAGUGAAAUAGAACCUGAAACCAUUUGCUUACAAUCAUUCAGAGCCCUAUGUAGCAAUACAGGGUGAUGGACUGCCUUUUGCAUAAUGAGCCUGCGAGUUGUGGUGUCUGGCAAGGUUAAGCAAACGCGAAGCCGUAGCGAAAGCGAGUCUGAAUAGGGCGCUUAGUCAGAUGCUGCAGACCCGAAACGAAGUGAUCUAUCCAUGAGCAAGUUGAAGCUAGUGUAAGAACUAGUGGAGGACUGAACCCAUAGGCGUUGAAAAGCCCCGGGAUGACUUGUGGAUAGGGGUGAAAGGCCAAUCAAACUUCGUGAUAGCUGGUUCUCUCCGAAAUAUAUUUAGGUAUAGCGUUGUGUCGUAAUAUAAGGGGGUAGAGCACUGAAUGGGCUAGGGCAUACACCAAUGUACCAAACCCUAUCAAACUCCGAAUACCUUAUAUGUAAUCACAGCAGUCAGGCGGCGAGUGAUAAAAUCCGUCGUCAAGAGGGAAACAACCCAGACUACCAGCUAAGGUCCCUAAAUCUUACUUAAGUGGAAAACGAUGUGAAGUUACUUAAACAACCAGGAGGUUGGCUUAGAAGCAGCCAUCCUUUAAAGAAAGCGUAAUAGCUCACUGGUCUAGUGAUUUUGCGCGGAAAAUAUAACGGGGCUAAAGUAAGUACCGAAGCUGUAGACUUAGUUUACUAAGUGGUAGGAGAGCGUUCUAUUUGCGUCGAAGGUAUACCGGUAAGGAGUGCUGGAGCGAAUAGAAGUGAGCAUGCAGGCAUGAGUAGCGAUAAUUAAUGUGAGAAUCAUUAACGCCGUAAACCCAAGGUUUCCUACGCGAUGCUCGUCAUCGUAGGGUUAGUCGGGUCCUAAGUCGAGUCCGAAAGGGGUAGACGAUGGCAAAUUGGUUAAUAUUCCAAUACCAACAUUAGUGUGCGAUGGAAGGACGCUUAGGGCUAAGGGGGCUAGCGGAUGGAAGUGCUAGUCUAAGGUCGUAGGAGGUUAUACAGGCAAAUCCGUAUAACAAUACUCCGAGAACUGAAAGGCUUUUUGAAGUCUUCGGAUGGAUAGAAGAACCCCUGAUGCCGUCGAGCCAAGAAAAGUUUCUAAGUUUAGCUAAUGUUGCCCGUACCGUAAACCGACACAGGUGGGUGGGAUGAGUAUUCUAAGGCGCGUGGAAGAACUCUCUUUAAGGAACUCUGCAAAAUAGCACCGUAUCUUCGGUAUAAGGUGUGGUUAGCUUUGUAUUAGGAUUUACUCCGAAAGCAAGGAAACUUACAACAAAGAGUCCCUCCCGACUGUUUACCAAAAACACAGCACUCUGCUAACUCGUAAGAGGAUGUAUAGGGUGUGACGCCUGCCCGGUGCUCGAAGGUUAAUUGAUGGGGUUAGCAUUAGCGAAGCUCUUGAUCGAAGCCCGAGUAAACGGCGGCCGUAACUAUAACGGUCCUAAGGUAGCGAAAUUCCUUGUCGGUUAAAUACCGACCUGCAUGAAUGGCGUAACGAGAUGGGAGCUGUCUCAAAGAGGGAUCCAGUGAAAUUGUAGUGGAGGUGAAAAUUCCUCCUACCCGCGGCAAGACGGAAAGACCCCGUGGACCUUUACUACAGCUUGACACUGCUACUUGGAUAAGAAUGUGCAGGAUAGGUGGGAGGCUUUGAGUAUAUGACGCCAGUUGUAUAUGAGCCAUUGUUGAGAUACCACUCUUUCUUAUUUGGGUAGCUAACCAGCUUGAGUUAUCCUCAAGUGGGACAAUGUCUGGUGGGUAGUUUGACUGGGGCGGUCGCCUCCCAAAUAAUAACGGAGGCUUACAAAGGUUGGCUCAGAACGGUUGGAAAUCGUUCGUAGAGUAUAAAGGUAUAAGCCAGCUUAACUGCAAGACAUACAAGUCAAGCAGAGACGAAAGUCGGUCUUAGUGAUCCGGUGGUUCUGUGUGGAAGGGCCAUCGCUCAAAGGAUAAAAGGUACCCGGGGAUAACAGGCUGAUCUCCCCCAAGAGCUCACAUCGACGGGGAGGUUUGGCACCUCGAUGUCGGCUCAUCGCAUCCUGGGGCUGGAGCAGGUCCCAAGGGUAUGGCUGUUCGCCAUUUAAAGCGGUACGCGAGCUGGGUUCAGAACGUCGUGAGACAGUUCGGUCCCUAUCUGCCGUGGGCGUAAGAAGAUUGAAGAGAUUUGACCCUAGUACGAGAGGACCGGGUUGAACAAACCACUGGUGUAGCUGUUGUUCUGCCAAGAGCAUCGCAGCGUAGCUAAGUUUGGAAAGGAUAAACGCUGAAAGCAUCUAAGCGUGAAGCCAACUCUAAGAUGAAUCUUCUCUAAGCUCUCUAGAAGACUACUAGUUUGAUAGGCUGGGUGUGUAAUGGAUGAAAGUCCUUUAGCUGACCAGUACUAAUAGAGCGUUUGGCUUAUCUUUAAUAAAGCAU